RNAcentral lists this ribosomal RNA (253 nucleotides) under uncultured bacterium. RNAcentral describes it as "partial 16S ribosomal RNA". It matches the Rfam family "Bacterial small subunit ribosomal RNA", at positions 524 to 776 of the family's 1533-position model. The record is from RNAcentral.
UACGUCGGCAGCGAGCGUUGUUCGGAAUUACUGGGCGUAAAGGGUUCGUAGGCGGUGUGGCAAGUCGGAAGGGAAAUCUCCAGGCUCAACUUGGAGGCUGCUCCCGAAACUGCCACGCUAGAGUGCGGGAGAGGCCAGUGGAAGUGCAGGUGUAGCGGUGAAAUGCGUAGAUAUCUGCAGGAACACCCGUGGCGAAGGUGGCUCGCUGGACCGCAACUGACGCUGAGGAACGAAAGCUAGGGGAGCAAACAGG